UACGUAGGGUGCAAGCGUUGUCCGGAAUUAUUGGGCGUAAAGAGCUCGUAGGCGGUCCGUCACGUCGGCUGUGAAAACCUGGGGCUCAACCCCGGGCCUGCAGCCGAUACGGGCGGACUAGAAUUCGGUAGGGGAGACUGGAAUUCCUGGUGUAGCGGUGAAAUGCGCAGAUAUCAGGAGGAACACCGGUGGCGAAGGCAGCUCGCUGGGACGUUACUGACGCUGAGACGCGAAAGCGUGGGGAGCAAACAGG
RNAcentral lists this ribosomal RNA (253 nucleotides) under uncultured bacterium. RNAcentral describes it as "partial 16S ribosomal RNA". It matches the Rfam family "Bacterial small subunit ribosomal RNA", at positions 524 to 776 of the family's 1533-position model. The record is from RNAcentral.